GUGCUGCUUCAGCAGCUCAUAAACUGAAACUGGGACAAUACAGAGAUCAGCGUGGCCUUGCACAAGGAUGACACGCAAACUCAUGAAGUGCUUCGUAUUUUU
Heterocephalus glaber (naked mole-rat) is the source of this 102-nucleotide small nuclear RNA. Lineage: Eukaryota; Metazoa; Chordata; Mammalia; Rodentia; Bathyergidae. The record is from Ensembl.